UUCCUGGCAACACAGAGGGGAAAGAAAGGGAAGGGAAGGUAAGCAAACCCUCUCAGCUUCCAUAGCUCAGAGGCAUUCUGGGACAGGAAAAUAGAGUUACAAACUUCCGUGUUGGAAAGAAGGGUUCUCUUCUCCCAACUCUGUGUUUUCCUGGGCUAAAGAAACUUCAAGCAGCUGGAAAUGCCAGCAGGGUCUUCUCUUUACUCUAUCCGGCCUCUCGGCGUGGGGCUGAGGAGAGGAACUUCGGUAACCAUGGUAACUUGACACCAGGCAGCAGUAAUAACAUGGGAAGACAAGAAGAUCCUUUUGACAUUUUGUGAAUGUUACAAGAGUGUAGUAGCAAGAACAUCUUUGUUCCAAAAUGUCUUCUCAGAUCUUCUGUCUUUCCACUUUGUAUUCCUCUUUAUAUAUGCAGUAGUCCUACUGUCCCACUGGCAUGACUGAAGGAGAACUAGCUCAAGCCUUUGCCUGGCUCUGAAUUUGUUUGGAUGUUUUCAUUCUUUCAAAGUGGACGGCUGACCUUGGAGGGACUAACCGAGAUCUGAAGCAGCAGUGCAGUAAUUCUGUCAGUUCUGUCAGCAGUUUCCUACAUUGCAAAACCUGACAAAUCUUUCUGCCAGCAUCCAGAAUUAGUCUCUGGAAGAUCCUAUCUGGCAACAGUGCAAGAGAUGAACAGCCUUUGCUUUGCAUCAAGGCAGAACUGCAAGCAGAGAGUGUGUGCUCCUACACAGACACAAGUUUUCCCAUGUGCUGCCAAUACCUUGCUGUUUAAUUCUAUAUACGCAUGAAUAUGUAUGUGUAUGCUCAGAAAAGAAUCACAGAAUGAAGAAAUCUCCAGGAGAUAGAGUGAAGAGCAUGACACAGUGAGAAUGACAGAUAUAGUCUUUGUUACAUUUUCAUUUGAAACACAGUUUAUCCUGUACAGCUUUAUAUACUUGUGUUUAUGCAUGCUUGUGUGUGGGCAUGCAUACAUAUAUUUUAUCUAUAUAUAUGGCUUUGCUUACUACAACCUGACAUGUGAUGUUGCAAAAUUUGUGGCUGAAAAUGGCAGAGGAAACGGAAUCAAGAGGAAGAAGAUAACAGAUACAAAAGCUCCAGGAAACUCUUAUGAGACAUGGGAAGGUAUAAACAGCAUUCUGUCACUACUCAGCACCUGAUUAGGCCUAGCAGACCAAUGCCUAUCUCUUUGUUAGCAGUAAUCUAUAAAUCUGUCUGAAACACUGAGGGUUCAUGCAUUUUUGCUCAGCUAUACCCCACAGUCCUGUUAAAAUCAAUUUGAAGACGGAAGUUAGCCCUAAGAAAGAGGUAGCAAGAGUCAUUUCUGUCUUGGUGGUUUGUUGUGGGAUAAAGCAUGAUUAUACAUUUAAACUUUUAUUGCUGGCAUUCAGAACCACAUGGGCAGGCAUACAAUUUCAUGAAUGUAGUUAUGAUCCUGUUUAUAAGUGGAUUUCAACCCACAUGUUCUGAGUGUCUGUGAUGAGUUAUGUUAUUACAUUGUGUUGGGACUGCACCUGAAGGGAGAAUGGGAUACGUUUAAGGUUGGUAUAUUUUAUGUUUAGCUUUUGUUGUCUCCAAAUGAAUAAAUGCUCUCACAAACCAUGCAAGAGUUCAUUUUUAAGGCUUUCAUCUUCUCAAGAAUGAGAAUUUCAGUGUGUGAAUGGAAAAGCAAAACCCAACAUUCACUCUUUUCCAAAAUAUAAACCUUAACAUCCAUUUUUUUCUUGCAGACAGAAUAUUUUUCUGCUGUCACACUUCUUUGGUUCCUUCUUGCUCUUUAUGUCUAGCAGCUGAGCCCUCAGCUUAAGGUUGCAAUAUCACAGUAAAAAUAUUUUUCAUAUACUGAAAGCUUUCUUUUGUUUUAUGGCCAACCAAAGCCAAGAGAAUAAGUCAGAGUGUCAAGUGAGCAGCUCCUAGCAGGGUCAGAGAGCACACCAGAUCUUUUAUCAGACAUUUAAUCACCUAAGUUUUAUUUCACUCAUGAAGGGCUCUGGAUGAAAACUUCAUUUCUUUUACUGAACCUUUCUGUCCUGAUGCCAACGUGGCAGUCCCUGCACUUUGGUGUGUGUGGGAUGACUACUUUACUAAUGUCCAUGCAUAAAGGGGCAGCAAGGGAGGAAACUUUAAGAUAACUUGAAGCUUGGAAAUGAGUGUUUUAGCUGCCCCACUUUGAACUUGAUGCUAUGCUAGGAGAUAUGUUUCUUCUUCAGUUUGGUAUGGUAGCAUCUCACUGGCCCUGGACCAAGUGUUGACAAAGCUGCAAAUAAGCUGAGAUACUGAGCAGGGAACAAAAGCCACUAUGGCAAAAGUAUGUGUGAUGAAAGAAGUGAGUCUCUAGCUGGUGCUCACAGGUGCACAGGAGUGAUCAGCAUUUGUCUAACUUCUCAAGACUUGACAGAUGGUGCUUGUGCAAUGAGGACUCAUCCCUGGAACACUUGUUCAGAGAAGGGGAAUAAAUAUUUUUCAGCUGAACAUCCCUUUGAAAUGCAAACCAUUAUCUUUGCAGGCUUCAGUUAUCUCCUUUAUGAGCCUUCUCAAGGAAUGUACCAAACACAGUGGAGGAGCUCUAUAUCUAAAAAGCAAACCACAAUCCUUUAAAAUAAACACCCCAGCCAAACUAAGGAAAAAAGAAACAAAGAGCAGCAAUAUGAAAAUAUGAAAAUGAAAUUAAUAAAAUAUCAAGAAACUGAAACAAUUUCCUGAAAGCUGACUUGCUGAUCCCUGAAUGCUGAGAACUGAAUAGAUGUGUGUAGUAAAAUAGCUAUAAAUGAGAUGUAUACAUUGCUGCAGUUAAACGUCUGAAAAUAUUUCAAAGUUAAGUUCCACAUACAAAAUCUUUUUCAAAGUCAGUUGCUUUAAAGGCAAGGAAGAGUUCUCCAAAGUUUGAGAGAAUAAUAUUUCCUCCAAUUUGGAAUGUAGUUGAAAAGGAAUGAACCUUAUCACCAAAGGAUAAGGAACAAGUUAAAAAGCACCUUCAAUCCUUGCCUGCUGCAGAUGACCCUGAUUGACUUUGAGACACUAACAAAAGCUUAAUCUUGUUUGCAGUGUAUUGAGAGAUGGCUGGGACAGAUUGACUGUGAAAGGGUAGUCUCUGAGAUGAGCUUAGAAUGAAGCAUGAAAGUGUCAUGGAGUUUGAGGUCUCAACCAGCUAAGUGAAGAGAGACUUCAGUGUGUGGAGAGGACUAAAUCAUGAUUGUGCCCAAGGGAAAUUGAAGUAUAUAAAUUGCAUAUCCUGUGAGUAUGAUCGGGGGAACAUUUUAUUUCAGAUAAGGAAUUUCUUUCUUUCUUUUCCACUCUUUUUAUAAUUGUUAUACAUAAAAUAUAAUUUUAUCUAUAUCUUUAAAAUAUAUAUUACUUACUUAAAAUUGCCCCUUAUUAUCUUUCCUGUUGUGUGAUGGUCCUAUUCCCUCCAGGCUCCUGUAGGCACUAUGUACUGUCACUGUGGCUUCCAUGUCUUCCAGUAAAGACUGGCAUCUUUGGACAGCUGGGAUAACGUUGCAGCAAAAAAUUCUUCCUUCAUAUCCAAACACAUGCAUGAGCAUGCUUCAUGUUUGGGCAUGCUGCCACCACCAUGCAUGUACACAGCUCUCAUCUUGGGGAGUGCUACUUGCCUGAGAAAUAUUGGAGUAGCAUGAGAUGGAGUGCAGAGCAGUACAGAUUUAGUGAGGAUGGGAAAGGUGUCCUAGGCUGAGAAUGGCCUCAGCUCAUUAUUCCUUUUUUCAGACAUUACAUUUGUGGAUUAUUAAGGCAUUCUAUUAGAAUGUUAAGGAUUUAAACUUAGCCUUUCUGAUGGCUUUAAAAACUGCACUUCUAGGAAACUUUGUCUCUCUGACUUUUCAGUUUGGAGCUCAAACUCCAAUCUUAAAUGUGUUGUUGUUUGAAUAUUCUAAAAUUUUGAGGUCUUUCUGUACUAUAGCACCUUGUUACCUUGUUGCUGUAGGAACACGUUAUAGAGACAUUUUAUAUAGUAACUAGAAAUAAAUCUUUCCUUUUUUUUUUUUUUUCUUUUUUUAUUAGUUGCAAUACCACCUACAAAUUUAGAUUACCAAAGAGGAAAGACAAAUUUAAAUUAGCAAAGGAGAAAAGAAAUUGCUAGGCCAUCAUAUUAGUGGAAUCUAUAAUUUUUAUUUCUUUUUUUAGCCAGGAGGCUUACAUUUUUUAGGUGUUUGCUAAUGCAAGAUGGUCCAUCAAAGGACCAGCAUCUCAGUAAUAAACUGUUAAACCUAAAUUGAAUGGCAUGUACUUUCUAUUUCAUAUUCAGUUAAGUUUGAGAUCAUCAGAAACU
Long non-coding RNA from Parus major (Great Tit), 4282 nucleotides. RefSeq lists it as uncharacterized. The transcript has 5 exons. The record is from RefSeq and is a predicted model, not a curated record. Lineage: Eukaryota; Metazoa; Chordata; Aves; Passeriformes; Paridae.